AGCGAACGCUGGCGGCAGGCUUAACACAUGCAAGUCGAGCGAACAGACGAGGAGCUUGCUCCUCUGACGUUAGCGGCGGACGGGUGAGUAACACGUGGAUAACCUACCUAUAAGACUGGGAUAACUUCGGGAAACCGGAGCUAAUACCGGAUAAUAUAUUGAACCGCAUGGUUCAAUAGUGAAAGACGGUUUUGCUGUCACUUAUAGAUGGAUCCGCGCCGCAUUAGCUAGUUGGUAAGGUAACGGCUUACCAAGGCAACGAUGCGUAGCCGACCUGAGAGGGUGAUCGGCCACACUGGAACUGAGACACGGUCCAGACUCCUACGGGAGGCAGCAGUAGGGAAUCUUCCGCAAUGGGCGAAAGCCUGACGGAGCAACGCCGCGUGAGUGAUGAAGGUCUUCGGAUCGUAAAACUCUGUUAUUAGGGAAGAACAAAUGUGUAAGUAACUAUGCACGUCUUGACGGUACCUAAUCAGAAAGCCACGGCUAACUACGUG
Molecule: ribosomal RNA, 497 nt
Filed under: uncultured bacterium
Lineage: Bacteria
Description: partial 16S ribosomal RNA
Rfam family: Bacterial small subunit ribosomal RNA
Source: RNAcentral